RNAcentral lists this ribosomal RNA (445 nucleotides) under uncultured bacterium. RNAcentral describes it as "partial 16S ribosomal RNA". It matches the Rfam family "Bacterial small subunit ribosomal RNA", at positions 354 to 796 of the family's 1533-position model. The record is from RNAcentral.
GUAAGGAAUAUUGGACAAUGGACGCAAGUCUGAUCCAACCAUGCCGCGUGAAGGAUUAAGGUCCUCUGGAUUGUAAACUUCUUUUAUAAGGGACGAAAAAAGGCUUUUCUAAGUCGUCUGACGGUACCUUAUGAAUAAGCACCGGCUAACUCCGUGCCAGCAGCCGCGGUAAUACGGAGGGUGCAAGCGUUAUCCGGAUUCACUGGGUUUAAAGGGUGCGUAGGCGGGCAGGUAAGUCAGUGGUGAAAUCCUAGAGCUUAACUCUAGAACUGCCAUUGAUACUAUCUGUCUUGAAUAUUGUGGAGGUAAGCGGAAUAUGUCAUGUAGCGGUGAAAUGCUUAGAUAUGACAUAGAACACCUAUUGCGAAGGCAGCUUACUACGCAUAUAUUGACGCUGAGGCACGAAAGCGUGGGGAUCAAACAGGAUUAGAAACCCUAGUAGUCC